This 482-nucleotide ribosomal RNA is filed under the name Salmonella enterica. RNAcentral describes it as "partial 23S ribosomal RNA". It matches the Rfam family "Bacterial large subunit ribosomal RNA", at positions 772 to 1251 of the family's 2925-position model. The record is from RNAcentral. Lineage: Bacteria; Pseudomonadati; Pseudomonadota; Gammaproteobacteria; Enterobacterales; Enterobacteriaceae.
GACCGAACCGACUAAUGUUGAAAAAUUAGCGGAUGACCUGUGGCUGGGGGUGAAAGGCCAAUCAAACCGGGAGAUAGCUGGUUCUCCCCGAAAGCUAUUUAGGUAGCGCCUCGUGAAUUCAUCUCCGGGGGUAGAGCACUGUUUCGGCUAGGGGGCCAUCCCGGCUUACCAACCCGAUGCAAACUGCGAAUACCGGAGAAUGUUAUCACGGGAGACACACGGCGGGUGCUAACGUCCGUCGUGAAGAGGGAAACAACCCAGACCGCCAGCUAAGGUCCCAAAGUCAUGGUUAAGUGGGAAACGAUGUGGGAAGGCCCAGACAGCCAGGAUGUUGGCUUAGAAGCAGCCAUCAUUUAAAGAAAGCGUAAUAGCUCACUGGUCGAGUCGGCCUGCGCGGAAGAUGUAACGGGGCUAAACCAUGCACCGAAGCUGCGGCAGCGACACUCAGGUGUUGUUGGGUAGGGGAGCGUUCUGUAAGCCUG